GCAUUCACAACUAAGAGUUUGGUUUGAGUCUCAAAGGAGACAUUGGAGUUGGAUUUCUCAGCACUCUUGAAACUGUUAAGAUUUUGUUAACUCUUGGAAAUGGACUAAAUGCAGUUUGAUAAAGAGAUGUGCAUGAGUCUUUUGGGAGCCAAGUGAAGAAUGCUAUGGUUUAGAUCAAGAAUGGCCCGAAAACUCACAUAUGCUCAGAUGUAAGGCUUUUAGAAGGUGACAAGAUCAGGUCCUUCCUCCAUGCCAUUUCUGCAUUGGAGCCUGCCAAACAUGGACUAAAACUUCUGAAAAUAUGAGCCAAAGUAAAGCUCUCCUCCUUGAAGUUGUGGAUGUCAGAUUUUCCACACCGAAACAAUUUGAUGACAGAAAUAACUCUGAAGUAAGAAUCCUGCUAAGUUUGCCUUUUGGUGGCUCAUUCUCCCAUUCAUUUAUACCCUUGAGCCACUGACUUAAACUCCCCCACACCAUUCUGUUGGAGCUCCACCUCGAUCUCUUUCCUGUUGCAGACUUUCUCAGUAUCCCCAGCAC
This 537-nucleotide long non-coding RNA is filed under the name Heterocephalus glaber (naked mole-rat). Its description in RNAcentral is "lncRNA (ENSHGLG00100038578.1)". The record is from RNAcentral. Lineage: Eukaryota; Metazoa; Chordata; Mammalia; Rodentia; Bathyergidae.